This 580-nucleotide ribosomal RNA is filed under the name uncultured bacterium. Its description in RNAcentral is "bacterial SSU rRNA". It matches the Rfam family "Bacterial small subunit ribosomal RNA", at positions 102 to 668 of the family's 1533-position model. The record is from RNAcentral.
ACGGGUGAGUAACACGUGGGCAACCUGCCCUUGAGACUGGGAUAACUUCGGGAAACCGGAGCUAAUACCGGAUAAUAUAAGGAACCUCCUGGUUCCUUAUUGAAAGAUGGUUUCGGCUAUCACUUAAGGAUGGGCCCGCGGCGCAUUAGCUAGUUGGUGAGGUAACGGCUCACCAAGGCGACGAUGCGUAGCCGACCUGAGAGGGUGAUCGGCCACACUGGGACUGAGACACGGCCCAGACUCCUACGGGAGGCAGCAGUAGGGAAUCUUCCACAAUGGACGAAAGUCUGAUGGAGCAACGCCGCGUGAGUGAUGAAGGCCUUCGGGUCGUAAAGCCCUGUUGUUAGGGAAGAACAAGUGCGAGAGUAACUGCUCGCACCUUGACGGUACCUAACCAGAAAGCCACGGCUAACUACGUGCCAGCAGCCGCGGUAAUACGUAGGUGGCAAGCGUUAUCCGGAAUUAUUGGGCGUAAAGCGCGCGCAGGUGGUUUCUUAAGUCUGAUGUGAAAGCCCACGGCUCAACCGUGGAGGGUCAUUGGAAACUGGGGAACUUGAGUGCAGAAGAGGAAAGUGGAAUU